CGUCAAGGCGGUUGGCAAAGUUGGUGGUGAAAUUUCAGGGCUCAACCCUGAAACUGCCUCCAAUACUGGUCGACUAGAGUGCGAGAGAGGAAGGUGGAAUUCCCGGUGUAGUAGUGAAAUGCGUAGAUAUCGGGAGGAACACCAGUGGCGAAGGCGGCCUUCUGGCUCGCAACUGACGCUGUAGCGCGAAAGCGUGGGGAGCGAACGGGAUUAGAUACCCCGGUAGUCCACGCCCUAAACGAUGUGUACUAGGUGUUGGGCGUAUUGACGCGCUCAGUGCCGCAGCUAACGCGAUAAGUACACCGCCUGGGGAGUACGGCCGCAAGGUUAAA
RNAcentral lists this ribosomal RNA (332 nucleotides) under uncultured bacterium. Its description in RNAcentral is "bacterial SSU rRNA". It matches the Rfam family "Bacterial small subunit ribosomal RNA", at positions 568 to 898 of the family's 1533-position model. The record is from RNAcentral.